Molecule: ribosomal RNA, 253 nt
Filed under: uncultured bacterium
Lineage: Bacteria
Description: partial 16S ribosomal RNA
Rfam family: Bacterial small subunit ribosomal RNA
Source: RNAcentral
UACGUAGGUGGCGAGCGUUGUCCGGAAUUACUGGGUGUAAAGGGCGUGUAGGCGGGAAUGCAAGUCAGAUGUGAAAUACCGUGGCUUAACCACGGGGCUGCAUCUGAAACUGUAUUUCUUGAGUGUCGGAGAGGAAAGUGGAAUUCCCAGUGUAGCGGUGAAAUGCGUAGAUAUUGGGAGGAACACCAGUGGCGAAGGCGACUUUCUGGACGAUAACUGACGCUGAGGCGCGAAAGCGUGGGGAGCAAACAGG